UACGAAGGGGGCUAGCGUUGUUCGGAAUCACUGGGCGUAAAGCGCACGUAGGCGGAUCUUUAAGUCAGGGGUGAAAUCCCGAGGCUCAACCUCGGAACUGCCUUUGAUACUGGGGAUCUCGAGUCCGGGAGAGAUGAGUGGAACUGCGAGUGUAGAGGUGAAAUUCGUAGAUAUUCGCAAGAACACCAGUGGCGAAGGCGGCUCACUGGCCCGGUACUGACGCUGAGGUGCGAAAGCGUGGGGAGCAAACAGG
This 253-nucleotide ribosomal RNA is filed under the name uncultured bacterium. Its description in RNAcentral is "partial 16S ribosomal RNA". It matches the Rfam family "Bacterial small subunit ribosomal RNA", at positions 524 to 776 of the family's 1533-position model. The record is from RNAcentral.